This 195-nucleotide ribosomal RNA is filed under the name uncultured bacterium. Its description in RNAcentral is "partial 16S ribosomal RNA". It matches the Rfam family "Bacterial small subunit ribosomal RNA", at positions 1307 to 1500 of the family's 1533-position model. The record is from RNAcentral.
GAAAUUACGCCUUCCAUGAAGCUGGAAUUGCUAGUAAUGGCAGGUCAGCAUACUGCCGUGAAUACGUUCCCGGGCCUUGUACACACCGCCCGUCACACCAUGAGAGUUGGGAAUACCCGAAGCCUGUGAGCUAACUUAUAGAGGCAGCAGUCGAAGGUAGAAUCAAUGAUUGGGGUGAAGUCGUAACAAGGUAGC